RNAcentral lists this RNase P RNA (412 nucleotides) under Pseudonocardia sp. KRD291. RNAcentral describes it as "Pseudonocardia sp. KRD-291 RNase P RNA component class A". It matches the Rfam family "Bacterial RNase P class A". Rfam says of the family: Ribonuclease P (RNase P) is a ubiquitous endoribonuclease, found in archaea, bacteria and eukarya as well as chloroplasts and mitochondria. The record is from RNAcentral. Lineage: Bacteria; Bacillati; Actinomycetota; Actinomycetes; Pseudonocardiales; Pseudonocardiaceae.
CGAGUCGGUCGGGCGACCGCGUCGGGGCCUCACCGGCUCCGUCGAGGAAAGUCCGGACUCCACAGGGCAGGGUGGUUGUCAACGGCAACCCGGGGUGACCCGCGGGACAGUGCCACAGAGAACAGACCGCCUCCGGCCUCGGGAUUUCUCGGGACCGGGGGUAAGGGUGAAACGGUGGUGUAAGAGACCACCAGCACCUCGGGCGACCGGGGUGGCUAGGUAAACCCCACCCGGAGCAAGGUCAAGAGGCUGCGUGCGAGCGCAGCUGCGCAGGUGCUCGAGGGCGGCCCGCCCGAGCCUGCGGGUAGACCGCUGGAGCCUGCCGGCAACGGCAGGCCGAGAUGGAUGGUCGCCGAACGGAACGUCGUGAGACGUCCGGGAACAGGAUCCGGCUUACAGACCGGCUCGUCCG